GACAAACUGAAUUAAUGUUUCUUUACCCAAAAUUAAGCCGGCACACUGAGAAAUCAGAAAUCAAUCAAGUAAGCAAGUAAAUAACUCUAAAUUGGCAUCUUAAUAAAGAUAAUAAUAAUAACUGAAUUCAGUUUUAUUUUAUUAUAUUUAUAUAUCACCAAAUCACAACAGCAAUUGCCUCAAGGCACAAUAAUAUGCUUGACUAUUUUUCCGACUAUUUUGUAAAAAUGUAAAUAAAAAAAAUUGUGGAUAAAACAUCAAUAAUAUUUUUGCAGUAAAAAUAUUAUUUUAUUUAAAUAGCCUGCAUAUACUGCUCAGUUAACCAUUACAGAAAACCCAAAAAGGAUUCCUUUAAUUAUCAACACUGUCAAUAUUUGGGAUAAAACUUUCAUUGAGGAGCGGACAAAUACAUUUGCUAAGAACUGUUUACCAAUCGAAACAAGACACCCUUCAGCCCAAUUAGCUUAAAAUCUAAAGUGAUACAUGUUGUUUUUUACUAUGUCAAAAAACAAUUAAGCUAGUUUUCGUGAUUUCAUGAUUUUAGAACACUUAACCCCUUUGAAGCAAAUAUGUGAUUUCUUUGUCAUAUUGGCCAUGAGAGAUGUCCAAGUGCUAUUGUCCAUAAACGGGGGGAAUGGUGUGUAUGAUUGUGGAAAUCAGUGUAUUCGGAAAAUGGGGACAGAGCGUCGUCUUUGAUAGCUUCUUACCCAACCAGUGGAAGCUUCAAUGCAGAAUGAUUCCUGCUCCUAUAGCCGUUCAUUGGCUCGCCAUCCUUUUCCAUACCCAAAAAGGUUCACCUGGCCUGCAUUAAAUAAACAAGGCCAAUAAGAAAUCACAAGAAUAAUACAAAAAUGUCAGCCAGUUAAGCUAAAAUACAUUAAGUUAUUCCUGUUUACACAACUUAUAAAUAGAUAAACAAACAGUAUAUUUAACCAAUAAGGAUUUAACUAAAACAUUUCAACUGCUAUCCGGUUGUUCAGUGAUGACGCGACGAAUCCUACUUCCGGGUCUAAAGUAGUCUGCGUUUAAUAUGGCUUUUGUGUUGUUAACAUGUUUAAUGUUAUGUAUUUUCUUCUAUUUGAUCUUAAAAAGCUCCUAAAACAGUCAGUGAUCACUGUUAACCUCCCUCGGCUUUUAUUACCGCUAAUCAUUUAUUUAAGCUCAGUUUUUAAAACCUUAGGAUGUAACUACAGCCCAGCCCAUGCAGCAGUAUAUGAAUGACUAACUUCGUAUUGUGGAUGGAUUAUCUCAGUUGUUCUCCUGGCUGAAGUUUGGUCCUUUUACAGCAUCCUGCCAUGCGAUUACAUUUGUUCCUGACCACGAGAACACUCACGUUAACUUUUAUCGAGUGGGGAAAAAAGUUAGCUUGUUUAUAUUAUGCUAACAUAGCUGUGUCGCUAGCGGUCACGUAGCACAUCAUUAUAUACCAGCUAGCCAAACUUCAGUAACCCUACAAACGUCACUGCUGUUUAGUUUUCUGUCUUCAUUUAUGCUGGAAGUGAUAGCAGAGCUGUACGUUUUAAUUUGUUUCCAAAACCCUGCAGUCAGGACAUGCUAUAUUGUAUUUAGAUAGAAGCUAGCGAGCUAACUCCCUGCUAACUUCUAACUCCGUUAAAUGUCAUAAAUUCCGUUUUCAUGGAUGCCUGAAUGUUAAACUCAAUUGUUACACCUGGUAGAGCAG
Molecule: long non-coding RNA, 1681 nt
Organism: Astatotilapia calliptera (eastern happy)
Lineage: Eukaryota; Metazoa; Chordata; Actinopteri; Cichliformes; Cichlidae
Source: Ensembl